UAAUACAUGCAAGUGGAACGCAUUGGUACACCGGACUUGCUCCAGUGUUACUAAUGAGUCGCGAACGGGUGAGUAACGCGUAGGUAACCUGCCUGAUAGCGGGGGAUAACUAUUGGAAACGAUAGCUAAUACCGCAUAAGAGGAGUUAACUCAUGUUAACUGUUUAAAAGAAGCAACGGCUUCACUAUCAGAUGGACCUGCGUUGUAUUAGCUAGUAGGUAGGGUAACGGCCUACCUAGGCAACGAUACAUAGCCGACCUGAGAGGGUGAACGGCCACACUGGGACUGAGACACGGCCCAGACUCCUACGGGAGGCAGCAGUAGGGAAUCUUCGGCAAUGGACGCAAGUCUGACCGAGCAACGCCGCGUGAGUGAAGACGGUUUUCGGAUCGUAAAGCUCUGUUGUAGGGGAAGAACGUGUGUAAGAGUGGAAAGCUUACACAGUGACGGUACCCUACCAGAAAGGGACGGCUAACUACGUGCCAGCAGCCGCGGUAAUACGUAGGUCCCGAGCGUUGUCCGGAUUUAUUGGGCGUAAAGGGAGCGCAGGCGGUUUAGUAAGUCUGAAGUUAAAGGCAUUGGCUCAACCAAUGUAUGCUUUGGAAACUGUU
RNAcentral lists this ribosomal RNA (611 nucleotides) under uncultured Bacilli bacterium. RNAcentral describes it as "bacterial SSU rRNA". It matches the Rfam family "Bacterial small subunit ribosomal RNA", at positions 49 to 637 of the family's 1533-position model. The record is from RNAcentral. Lineage: Bacteria; Bacillati; Bacillota; Bacilli.